CGCGGCCUAUCAGCUUGUUGGUGGGGUAAUGGCCUACCAAGGCGACGACGGGUAGCCGGCCUGAGAGGGCGACCGGCCACACUGGGACUGAGACACGGCCCAGACUCCUACGGGAGGCAGCAGUGGGGAAUAUUGCACAAUGAGCGAAAGCCUGAUGCAGCGACGCCGCGUGAGGGAUGACGGCCUUCGGGUUGUAAACCUCUUUCAGCAGGGACGAAGCGUAAGUGACGGUACCUGCAGAAGAAGCGCCGGCCAACUACGUGCCAGCAGCCGCGGUAAGACGUAGGGCGCGAGCGUUGUCCGGAUUUAUUGGGCGUAAAGAGCUCGUAGGCGGCUUGUCGCGUCGACUGUGAAAACCCGCAGCUCAACUGCGGGCCUGCAGUCGUUACGGGCAGGCUAGAGUUCGGUAGGGGAGACUGGAAUUCCUGGUGUAGCGGUGGAAUGCGCAGAUAUCAGGAGGAACACCGGUGGCGAAGGCGGGUCUCUGGGCCGAUACUGACGCUGAGGAGCGAAAGCGUGGGGAGCGAACAGGAUUAGAUACCCUGGUAGUCCACGCUGUAAACGUUGGGCGCUAGGUGUGGGGGACCUCUCCGGUUCUCUGUGCCGCAGCUAACGCAUUAAGCGCCCCGCCUGGGGAGUACGG
RNAcentral lists this ribosomal RNA (643 nucleotides) under uncultured bacterium. Its description in RNAcentral is "bacterial SSU rRNA". It matches the Rfam family "Bacterial small subunit ribosomal RNA", at positions 232 to 885 of the family's 1533-position model. The record is from RNAcentral.